UACGUAGGGUGCGAGCGUUGUCCGGAAUUAUUGGGCGUAAAGAGCUUGUAGGCGGUUUGUCGCGUCUGCUGUGAAAAUCCGGGGCUCAACCCCGGACUUGCAGUGGGUACGGGCAGACUAGAGUGUGGUAGGGGAGACUGGAAUUCCUGGUGUAGCGGUGAAAUGCGCAGAUAUCAGGAAGAACACCCGUGGCGAAGGCGGCUCUCUGGGACGGUACUGACGCUGAGACGCGAAAGCGUGGGGAGCGAACAGG
RNAcentral lists this ribosomal RNA (253 nucleotides) under uncultured bacterium. RNAcentral describes it as "partial 16S ribosomal RNA". It matches the Rfam family "Bacterial small subunit ribosomal RNA", at positions 524 to 776 of the family's 1533-position model. The record is from RNAcentral.